Molecule: ribosomal RNA, 443 nt
Filed under: uncultured bacterium
Lineage: Bacteria
Description: partial 16S ribosomal RNA
Rfam family: Bacterial small subunit ribosomal RNA
Source: RNAcentral
CCUACGGGUGGCAGCAGUGGGGAAUAUUGGGCAAUGGGCGCAAGCCUGACCCAGCAACGCCGCGUGAAGGAAGAAGGCUUUCGGGUUGUAAACUUCUUUUCUGAGGGACGAAGAAAGUGACGGUACCUCAGGAAUAAGCCACGGCUAACUACGUGCCAGCAGCCGCGGUAAUACGUAGGGGGCAAGCGUUAUCCGGAUUUACUGGGUGUAAAGGGAGCGUAGACGGGAGGUUAAGUCUGGAGUGAAAGGCAGGGGCCCAACCCCUGGACUGCUCUGGAAACUGUCCGGCUGGAGUGCAGGAGAGGUAAGUGGAAUUCCUAGUGUAGCGGUGAAAUGCGUAGAUAUUAGGAGGAACACCAGUGGCGAAGGCGGCUUACUGGACUGUAACUGACGUUGAGGCUCGAAAGCGUGGGGAGCAAACAGGAUUAGAUACCCGUGUAGUC